Cyprinus carpio carpio is the source of this 430-nucleotide long non-coding RNA. The record is from Ensembl. Lineage: Eukaryota; Metazoa; Chordata; Actinopteri; Cypriniformes; Cyprinidae.
GAAGCGCCGCUGUAGAGGAUAAUUUUUUAUUUAUUUUUUAUUUUUUUUUACAUCAAAAGCCCUACUCGGACUGUAAUUGUUUCUCAGGGGGACGUCCACUCAUUUCUGCAUGCGGCCAGAAUGAGAAUAACUACAGUAUUUCUUAUCUAAGCCUUUGCAGGCCAACUCAAUGUGACACAUUCUAUGAAUUACUGGAAGUCUGAUUGUUUUUAAUCAAUCUCUUCUUGACUUCUAUUCAGUCAAAUUCUAUUUCUCAAUCUUUAAAGCCAUACUACUAGAAUUUUUCAUUUAAUGUUAACAAUCAUUAUUUAAAGAAAUGCCUUACCCUAAGAUUUUUGCAUGAAUUUUUUUCUUUUACAUGAACCAUUCCAUUAAUGAUUUUAUUCAUACUCGUCUCCAUUUUGCAUGUCAUAUAUUCCUUUAAUUCCAC